Long non-coding RNA from Brassica oleracea var. oleracea, 395 nucleotides. RefSeq lists it as uncharacterized. Lineage: Eukaryota; Viridiplantae; Streptophyta; Magnoliopsida; Brassicales; Brassicaceae. The transcript is spliced from 2 exons. The record is from RefSeq and is a predicted model, not a curated record.
AGAUAGAUCAUCAGUUAAAACCUAUUCUCUUCAAUCAUCUCAAUUCCAAAAAAUGAAGAUCUCUUUCUCUUCUGUUCUCUUCGUACUCAUGGUCGUUUUCAUCAUUUCUUCUUCAGGAAACAAGAAAAUGGUAGGAGAAGCAAAGGAUUGUUUUCAAACGUGGACGUGUGAAGGAGAAAAAAAAUGUAGAGAUAAGUGCACGGCUGAAUACAAAGGAAUUGGAAGGUGUGAUGAUAUCGUUGCUCCUAUAGUUCCUCCCCAGUGUAAUUGCUAUUAUCCUUGCUAAUAUCUCUAUACGUACAGCAAAUAAUGAUUUGUCUUAUAUGAUAAUAUGUAAACUUUUUAUCUGUUAAAUCUUAUGUGAUUCAAAGAAUAAAUAUAUCUCAAAGGUGAAA